RNAcentral lists this ribosomal RNA (253 nucleotides) under uncultured bacterium. Its description in RNAcentral is "partial 16S ribosomal RNA". It matches the Rfam family "Bacterial small subunit ribosomal RNA", at positions 524 to 776 of the family's 1533-position model. The record is from RNAcentral.
UACGAAGGGGGCUAGCGUUGCUCGGAAUCACUGGGCGUAAAGGGUGCGUAGGCGGGUUUUUAAGUCAGAGGUGAAAUCCUGGAGCUCAACUCCAGAACUGCCUUUGAUACUGAAAGUCUUGAGUAUGGGAGAGGUGAGUGGAACUGCGAGUGUAGAGGUGAAAUUCGUAGAUAUUCGCAAGAACACCAGUGGCGAAGGCGGCUCACUGGCCCAUAACUGGCGCUGAGGCACGAAAGCGUGGGGAGCAAACAGG